Piliocolobus tephrosceles (Ugandan red Colobus) is the source of this 1833-nucleotide long non-coding RNA. Lineage: Eukaryota; Metazoa; Chordata; Mammalia; Primates; Cercopithecidae. The record is from Ensembl.
CAGUUUGAAUAACCACAGUUUGAAUAAUAAAAAUUUCAGCUCAUCAGUUAAUAACACUUUAUUUCAAAACAAAAACGAUUACACAAAUUCUUUUAAUAAUAAAAACAAUAAUGUGCAAAAUAAUUUGUUUUAUCAGCAAAAAACUAGUGACACUAUUAAUGCCAAUAAAAGAGAGGAUACGCUUAAUUUUUUUCAUAACAGUAGGGCAGCAACAACAACAUCAACAACAACAUCAGCAACAACAUCAGCAACAACAUCAGCAGUGACAAAUUUAAACAAUGUGUACCAAAACAACAACAGAACCUACCAACAGAAUCAACGAAUUAUGAAGAGCGAAAGAACUAAUGCGUAUAAUAAUAUAAAUAGUAGUAACUUAGAAAGUUUUUUAAAUAACGAAGAAACACAAAACACAAAUUAUAAUAGAACAAGAUUAGGUGAUACAUAUACGAAUGAAAUUAUGAGCUUACGAAAUAUAACAAAUGAUGAAACGUAUUGUACAUGUCUUGAUAAUUUAUUAAGGAAUCAUGGAAACAUUGAUUGUAAUGAAAUGAUAAAAUAUAAUGACAAAAAUAUUAAUUGUUUAAACGAUAUAAUAUUUUUAGAUGUAUAUAGAGCAUAUAAUGUAUUAACAUAUAUGCAGGAAAAAGUUAAUAUAAUUAUUUAUACUAUAAAAAUCAUUGGAAAAAAAUUAAAAAGAAAACAUGUACCUGAAGAAGUAGUUUUAUCCCUAGAAUUUUUAAACUUCUGUGUUAAAAAUUUAGGAUUAUAUUUUAUUCGAUUUAUUGAUGAAAGUUUUAUGAAAAAAAUAAGAAAUUUGUUAAAAUGUACUACAUUAAAAAAAUCAAUUACAAAAAAUGUAAAAUCGAAAUUAUCCAAAUUUUUUAUUGUUCCUAUUAUACACCCAGGUGUUGCAACAGAUCCCAGAUUACAUUUUAUAAAAAGAAAAAUUUUAUUUAUGUUACAAUUAUGGCAUGAUUCUUUUAUAUUACAUCAACAGAUAGCUAGUGUCUUUUUUUUAGAAUACAGAUCACUAAAAGAAAAAGGAAUCACAUUUCCUAUUAUUAACAAGUCAGAAAAGUUUUUUGUUAAAAAUGCUCAUAUUUCUCCAUCCUUUUCAGAUGACAACAUUUUACAUGAACUACCUCUAAAAUUAACACAAAUUAAUAAUAUUAUGAAAAGUUUAAAAGAAAUAAAAAAUAUGUAUAAUGACAGUGAAAAGGCAAAAUGUAUUACUAUCAUAUCGAAAUAUAAAGAUACUAUAUUACAAUGUAUUAAUAAAUUAUCAGAUUAUACUGGAAACGUUAAUAUAUCUGUAACAUUAAAUUCACUUCUUUAUAUAAAUGAUCAAAUAUGUAUUUUACAGCAGACGGAUAUGAACAAGUUGACUGAUAAGGUCAAACAUGUUGAACCUAAGGAAGUGGAUAAAUCGGUAGAACAUUCCGAACAAUCACAAACAAGUCAAACAACUGAUUGGGACACAUGGGAUGAUGAGGAAAAAAGUGAUGAAUCAACCAAAAAAAAAAAAAAUAAAAAAAAAAUUAAAAAAAAAAAAAAUACAACUUCAUCGAUAAAUAUAAAUGAUAUUAUAUUUAAUACAUAUGAUCCAUGGAAUACUGAACAAGCAAAAAUAAAAGAUGACAAAAUUAACAAUUUUAAAAAUAUAAAUGACAAUCAGAAUGCUUAUGAUCCGUUUUUUAGUGAUCUAACGAACACGUUUAAUAGUACGGCUAUUAAGAAUGUCUCUACGACAUUAGAUUUGAUUUUUGACGACAGUACUACUACCAUUGCUAAUUCUAGUACUACUGGCGGUGCUAAUGCCAGUACUACUAUCGG